This 73-nucleotide transfer RNA is filed under the name Bos taurus (domestic cattle). It matches the Rfam family "tRNA". From Rfam's summary of the family: Transfer RNA (tRNA) molecules are approximately 80 nucleotides in length. Their secondary structure includes four short double-helical elements and three loops (D, anti-codon, and T loops). RNAcentral also lists the same sequence under 4 other names. The record is from Rfam by way of RNAcentral. Lineage: Eukaryota; Metazoa; Chordata; Mammalia; Artiodactyla; Bovidae.
UCCCUGGCAGUCCAGUGGUUAGGACUCAGUGCUUUCACUGCCAAGGGCCUGGGUUCAAUCCCUGGUCAGGGAA